GUCAGGGCUGAGGGGCUUGUCCCAGACUCCCCAUGUCCCCUCAACUCCUCAGAGGAGGGUGCAGAGGGAGUCCCCCCCCGACUUCUGACACCCACCACCCCAGCAACCUGCUCUUUCCUGCUUGGUGACCCAGCUCCAGCCCCAGCCUCAGGAGAGACCCCCAGCCGGGGCAGGAUAGAGAUGGGGCUGCAGAGCUUCCUACCUGCCUGGUGGGGAGGCAGCAGAAGGAUCUGGACAGGGUUGUCUGACACUCAGACAAAAUAACAAACCAGCUCAGUGCUCCUCAUCACCUCAGGGUGGCCCUUGGCAGCAGCCAUGUGCAGGACUGUCCUAGACUUAGGCUGGGCUGGUCACCUGCAAGGUGUCCCCCAGCCAUCCCCGGGGCAGCCUUGCUGGGAAAACUUGCAGUGAAGGAGUGAAGGGCGUGAGCCCUGGCCAGACUGCCUUUGUUGGAAUCCUGGCUCUGCCAUGGAUCUGCCGAGUCCCAGCCAGCCACUUUCCUCUCCAGGCCUCAGUUUCCUCAUCUGUCAAAUGGGAAUGGUAUGGUGCGCACCUGUAUGAGGGGUCGUGCGUGACAUGUGGAUUGUGCUGUCAGGAGCUCGGGAGUACGUGCCACGGGACAGCACUAGAGCCAUGCCAGCAUUCAGUGAGCUCUGUGGGGUGACAGGAAGCUCCCGAGGCCAGGCCUAGGGCUUCUGGCGCAUGGGCAGCGGAGUGGAGACAGCUUCCUCUUUUGAAAGGUUGGCAGGAGCAAGGUGGAGGCUGACGGAUGUAGGAGAAGAAGGUCUCACACAGUCUGGGGGGCAAGUGUGGGUGCCCUGAGGUGCCCAGGGAGGGGAGUGUAAGGCAGAGCAAACCCGGGAGGACCAUGAGUGCCAGGCGAGAAGCAGGGUGACUUUUGCCCUGAGGGUGAUAUGGCCAAGGGGGGUUUAAUGGGUGGGGCAGGAUCAGCUUAGGUGGCCCAGAUAUGAGGGGAGCCCAGCCUGGGAGCAUCUGGGGACAGUUUCUAGAAGACGUGAGUACUACAGCACUAAGAGUUUGCUAGAAGGGCAGGAAUGAAGGGCCCUCCCAGUACUCCUGGGCACCACAUGCAGAGGCCCGAAGGUGUGAAGACAGUGGUGAACUGUGUGGGGAAGGUGUGAAGACAGUGGUGAACUGUGGGGAAGGUGUGAAGACGGUGGCAAACUGUGUGGGGAAGGUGUGAAGAUGGUGGUGAACUGUGUGGGGAAGGUGUGAAGAUGGUGAACUGUGUGGGAAAGGUGUGAAGAUGGCGGUGAACUGUGUGGGGAAGAUGUGAAGAUGGCAGUGAACUGUGUGGGAAAGGUGUGAAGACGGUGAACUGUGUGGGGAAGGUGUGAAGACGGUGGUGAACUGUGUGGAGAAGGUGUGAAGACAGUGAACUGUGUGGGGAAGGUGUGAAGAUGGUGUUGAACUGUGUGGGGCAGGUGUGAAGAUGGUGUUGAACUGUGUGGGGCAGGUGUGAAGAUGGUGUUGAACUUUGUGGGGCAGGUGUGAAGACGGUGGUGAACUGUGUGGGGCAAGUGUGAAGACGGUGCUGAACUAUGUGGGGAAGGAGGAGGCGAGUGCCAGCAGCAGAAGCCGGGGCAGCUGAGGGCCCACCAGUGCCCUGGGUGUGCUGAGGGGUCGGGAUGAGGUCUGAGCAGGUCGCCCCUGGGAGCUAGAAGGGCUCCUCUGGGGAUGAGUCUGGAGGCUUCUCAUGGGUGGGGGCCGUGAGGACAAGAGGGCAGUGCCUGCACGUGGCAGCUGCAGGCGCCUGCUGGACACAGGGCACCUCCUCUCUCUGAGGUGUGCCGCCAUCUGUAGGAAAACCAGCAAGCGCUUCCACGAGCCCUCGGUGCCCGCCUGGGCACUGAGCUCCUGACAGCUGUUCAUGGUGGUAUUGCUGUGGGGGACGUGUGCUCCACCCCUCCCCUGCAGCCUCCUUCCCUCCUUGCAG
This is a non-coding RNA of Chlorocebus sabaeus (green monkey), 1957 nucleotides long. The record is from RefSeq and is a predicted model, not a curated record. NCBI's taxonomy places the organism in Eukaryota, Metazoa, Chordata, Mammalia, Primates, Cercopithecidae.